This 227-nucleotide long non-coding RNA is filed under the name Capsicum annuum. RNAcentral's name for it is "long non-coding RNA (CANN_LNC008544)". Lineage: Eukaryota; Viridiplantae; Streptophyta; Magnoliopsida; Solanales; Solanaceae. The record is from RNAcentral.
UAAAACUUCUAAGUCUGAAGCUCACAUGAGAAAAAUUAGGACAAAGAAGACAACCCAUCCGUUAUGCCUUCAGACCUCAGCUGCAAUGAAGAUUUCAAAUAGGAUACAUCUCAAAAUUCGUAACCCCAAUGGUGUUACAUCACAAUAAUUACAGCCACCACAAAAACCCCUACAUGGAACUUUGACAUUUCAACAACAAUCUCAACUACCACAAAAUUUUAUUUCAG